UGUAAGCGUAUACCAAAGUUGUUGCAGUUAAAACGCUCGUAGUCGGAAUUUGGCAGUUCCGGAUGUGUGCACGUCGUGUGCGCACUUCGCGGGGAUUGCUUUUGUGGUCUUGCGUAGGAUGAGGCACUUCUAUUAGUGAACGUCCUCACGCAACCACUUUUUACUGUGAGAAAAUCAGAGUGCUCAAAGCAGGCAUUUGCCGUGAAUGUAUUAGCAUGGAAUAAUAGAAUAGGACUUGGUUCUAUUUUGUUGGUUUGUUGGGACUGAGUGAUGAUUAAGAGGGACAGUCGGGGGCAUUUGUAUUUCGGUGCUAGAGGUGAAAUUCUUAGAUUACCGAAAGACAAACUGCUGCGAAAGCGUCUGCCAAGGAUGUUUUCAUUGA
Molecule: ribosomal RNA, 382 nt
Filed under: uncultured eukaryote
Lineage: Eukaryota
Description: partial 18S ribosomal RNA
Rfam family: Eukaryotic small subunit ribosomal RNA
Source: RNAcentral